Molecule: long non-coding RNA, 15306 nt
Organism: Oncorhynchus tshawytscha (Chinook salmon)
Lineage: Eukaryota; Metazoa; Chordata; Actinopteri; Salmoniformes; Salmonidae
Source: Ensembl
UAUGGCACAAGAGAUUUCUUUUUAUGUAAUUUCUUUUUGUUUUCAGUUUAAAAAAAUGAUACGUAUCCUGCAGGUCCAAAAUUAUUGGCACACUUGAUAAAGAUGAGCAAAAAAAAGACUAUAAAAUAAUAAUAUUUGUAUUUAUUUUAUUUUAUUUUAUUUCACCUUUAUUUAACCAGGUAGGCUAGUUGAGAACAAGUUCUCAUUUGCAACUGCGACCUGGCCAAGAUAAAGCAUAGCAGUCUGAACAGACAACACAGAGUUACACAUGGAGUAAACAAUUAACAAGUCAGUAACACAGGAAAAAAAAGAGAGUCUAUAUACAUUGUGUGCAAAAGGCAUGAGGAGGUAGGCAAAUAAUUACAAUUUUGCAGAUUAAUACUGGAGUGAUAAAUGAUCAGAUGGUCAUGUACAUUGUAGACAUAUUGGUGUGCAAAAGAGCAGAAAAGUAAAUAAAUGUAAACAGUAUGGGGAUGAGGUAGGUAAAAUUGGGUGGGCUAUUUACCGAUAGACUAUGUACAGCUGCAGCGAUAUACUGCUAGCUCGAAAUACUGAGCUAUUGUAUGCUCAAAAACAUUUGAAAAUGAUGUUGUUUUAUUGUUCAGAGAAAUACAUUUAGUUUAACAAGUAAUAUAUUUAUUUUUUUAAAGAUAGGGGUCAAAAUUAUUGUCAUCCCUGUUUUCAAUACCUCACCUUGCGAGGAUAAUGACACUGAGCCUUUUUCUAAAAUGUUUUAUGAGAUUGGAGAACACAUCGGGAGGGAUCUUAGACCAUUCCUCCAUUCAGAAUCUUUCCAGAUCCUUGAUAUCCUUUGUCUGUGUUUAUGGACUGCCCUCUUCAAUUCAAACCACAGGUUUUCAAUGGGGUUCAAGUCAAGAGACUGAGAUGGCCAUUGCAAAAUAUUGGUUUUGUGGUCAAUUAAUCAUUUAUUUGUAGAUUAUGAUGUGUUCUUGGGGUUAGUGUCUUGCUGGAAGAGCCACUUGCAGCCAAGUUUCAGCCUCCUGGCAGAGUUAACCAGAGCUGCGUGCGAAUACCCAUACUAACAUACGUAUACUGCACACUUAAUGAGUAUAUACUACAUAGUUAAUUUUAGUAUACUGUAAACGAACAGUAUGCUUUCAGUUGAGCAUACUGUCUCUUCACUUGUCUACCGGAAGUUGAUGCUGUUGCUAUGCAACCUCUUGCUCGCUAGUUAGCAUAACAAAUGACUAGCUAAACAUUUUACAACUUUGGGUGUGUUCUUAAAUUCAAUCUGGAGUGCCAGAGUGCACUUGUAAAUUCAGAGCGUAGUCAGAUUGUCUGUUUGUAAAUUCAGAACUUUCGCUCUCGGAGCGCACACUGGACACUCCAGCCUUUGGCUUUCUGAUCUUAUGGCAGUCAAACACCCAAGCUAACGUUGGCUAGCUUGCUAGCUACUUCCAGACACAAAUGAGACCACUCUGACCAUUUUACUCGCCCUAGCAGAGCUGGUUAGGCAGUUUUCCAGAGCGUUGGUGACUGUAACUGUGACUGUAAAUUACGCUCUUUUGCUGAAGUUUACUGACACCAGUCAUAUUCAAUGGGGGUUGAGCGCUCAUAAAUUCAUUACACUCAGAGGAGAGUGCUCUGAAAUCAGAGUACUGUAGAUAGUCAGAGCGAAUUCCGGUGAGAGUUUACUUGGCCCAAAUGUAUUUCUUGGGGCUCGGCGGAUUGGGACCACUCUCUGGCAGAUGAGGGCUGCUUUAAAUAAUUAACAUUUCAUUAUUUAUUUUUCCAUGUUUUCUAAUUGUUUCUGUGAUCAAAAAAUACAAUUAACAUUUAAAUGAAAUUCUUUAAGAGUCCUGUGUAGUAUUUUAGAAUUUUUAUACUUUGUGCAAGGCAAUUGAUAAGCAUUAAAAACUUUGUGGAUGGAGCCUCCCUGUAACAUCUGCUUUCAACUCACUCUCAAACACGUAGAUCCCCUGGACACAGCUCACUUUCCAGUCCACUUUCCAGCUCACACUCUCAAGCACAUAGAUCCCCUGAACGCAGCUCACUCUCCAGAUCCUAAUCACCUGAAUUUUGAUUACCUGUUCACACACUUGUAUGUCAUUAUCACACAUUAUAUAGUUCAGUUCUUUGCAUCCCCGUCAUUGUGAGGUAUUGUUUGUUUUGUGACACACUUCUAUUCGGAGCUCUGUUUUUCCCGUGAUUUACUCCUCCUGUGUAUGAUAGUUUCUGCCUGCCUCACUAACAAUGCCUUUUGCCUAUUCCCUGCCUGUACUUUAGCCUAUCGGAUUUCCUGUUAUCAACCUAUUGCCUGAUCUCCCGGAUGACGUUACAAGCCUUUUCCAUGCCUGUACUAUUGCCUUUUUGGACCCCCUGUGUAUGACCUUCUGCCUGCCCCUGGACCCAGCUACCUGCCUCCUCAUGUGGUCCUUUACCAAUAAACACCUGCUGCGCCCUGCGCUUGAAACCAGCUCUCUGUCUCCCUUUGUGUUCAUUACACUCCCGAGUAGCACAGCAGUCUAAGACACUGCAUCGCAGUACAAACUGCGUUGCUACAGAUGCUGUCUCGAGUCCCGUGCUUGCCACAACCAGGAGACCCAUGAGGCGAUGCACAAUUGACACAGCAUCGUCUGAGUUAGGGGAGGUCCUGCGGGCCAGGCGCAUGCCCGCUGACACGGUCACCGGGUGUAUGGUGUUUCCUCAGUUUUUGUGGAUGGGUAUACUUUGUAUGUAUAAUAGUAGUAUUUAAAAUGACUAAAUUGGGUAAUUUUGUAUACAUUUAUUUAAAUUUGCAUCGGACAGCUUCUGGGGAGAUUCUGGUAAGAUGUUAGCUGAAUUUGGGUAGAGGAAACGGCCCGAUGUACUUGGGCUGAUUCUGGGCAGUCAUUCAUUUUGAUUCCGGGCCGAGUCCGACACCCUAAUUCUGGGCGAAUUCAAUCAGUUCCGGCCUCCCAGAAGAGGGCCGCUUCUGGGCCGAUUCCUCAUUGCUAGCUGGGAUUCUGCUGUAACGAUAUGCUAUGUGGUUCGUAAUGACAGCAUAGCUAACAAAUUGUCAGCCAACAUAACUCGAAAUUGACUCAACAUAACUCGAAAUUGAGCCCAGGUGCAUACUGUUUCCAUUGAUCAUCCUUGAGAUGUUUCUACAGCGUGACACGCUCAUGGGGAUGGGCGAUCGUACACCUUGCACCUUCGUGCAGAAAAGACAGAGAGGGCUGUCUUGCUUCUAGUCCUUGGGAAACUUUGCAGCAUUUAGUUUUUUCUUACAUUGUUAGCCCAGAAAAUCUUAAGUGUUAUUACAUAGAGCUGGGAAGAACUAUGGUAAAAAUUAUAUAGGUAAAACAAAGCGCAAAUUAAAAGUACGUAUCUCAGAGCAUCAUAGCACCAUUAGGUGUAAAAACUUUACUUACCCAGUUGCGGCCCACUUCUUGGAGGCAGACCACUCUAUUUCGUCUCUGCAUUAUAUUGGCAUCGAACAUGUCACCCUCCCUAGGAGAGGGCGUGACCUUGAUAAUUUAUUGUUAAAACGAGAGGUUGCCUGGAUCUUUAACUUAAAGACCCUUGUUCCCCCUCCUUCCCUUGUUCGGUCUCAACGUAGACUUUAAUCUGAAGCCAUUCUUGUGAUUAUUGUGACUUUGCCAUUGUAAUUGUUUGUAAGCUUGUGUAGUCAAAUUAAUCUAUGAUCGUAUGCUAUCCAUUUGUUGUUUGUAUGCUGUUCUUUGUAUGACAUUUUAAUAUUUGAUUAUUAACCAAUGAUAUUAGGCCACUCUUGGCCAUGAUUACAGACACUUGUGUCUUUUGACACUAUAUAAACGAGUCAUCCCGCAGUGUUUGUGAUUAUACCCUGAUGAAGACAGCUUGGCUGUCGAAACGUUGGAAAUCAAAUUUGGCAUCUGAGCUCCUAGUGUGCGGCUCUCUUUUAUUUUCAAGUUUUCUACCUCGUCUUAAUAGGUGUGCGUUUCUUUUUCUUCAAGAACUAUAGGAUAUCAGAGUGACGUCAACUUACCAGCACAACGACCAGGAAUACAACUUUCCUGAAGGGGAUCCUUUGUCCGCACCACCCAGGGCAUUUUAACUAAUUCCAGAGGCCAACCCAAAACAAUGCCGCCAGACAAGAGGAAGACGGAGCGGUCUUCUGGUCAAACUUCAGAGGCGUGCACACAACCCACUGCUCCCGAAUAUAUUACUCGCUAAUGUCCAGUCCCUAGAUAACAAGGUCGACAAAAUCAGGGCAAGGUUUGCUUUCCAGAGAGACAUAAGAUAUUGUAACAUACUCCGUUUCACGGAAACAUGGCUCUCUUGGGAUAUGCUGUCGGAGUCGAUACAGCCACCUGGCUUCUCAGUGCGUCACUCCUACAGGAAUAAAUAUCUCUCCGGGAAGAAGAAGGGGCGGGGGUGUAUGUUUCAUGAUUAACGACUCAUGGUGUAAUUGUAACAACAUACAGGAACUCAAGUACUUUUGUUCACCUGACCUUGAAUACCUCACAAUCAAUUUUGAUCACGUGGACCGGGAUUUGUUCCGGGUAGGCUCUGAGAAUAAUACCGCCAUAUACGCUGAUUUGGUGAGUGAGUUUAUAAGGAAGUGUAUAGGAGAUGUUUUACCUACUGUGACUAUUAAAACUUACCAUAACCGGAAACCGUGGAUAGAUGGCAGCAUUCCUUCUAAACUGAAAGCGCGAACCACCGCAUUUAACCAUGGACAGGUGACUGGGAAUAUGGCAGAAUAUAAACAGUGUAGUUUUUCCCUCCGCAAGGCAAUCAAACAAGAAAAAUGUCGGUAUAGAGACAAAGUGGAGUCGCAAUUCAACGGCUCAGACACGAGAUGUAUGUGGCAGAUAAUCACAGACUACAAAUGAAAAACCAGCCACGUCACGGACACGGACGUCUUGCCUCCAGACAAACUUAAUACCUUCUUUGCCCGCUUUGAGGAUAAUACAGUGCCACCGACGCGGCCCGCUGCCAAGGACUGUGGGCACUCAUUCUCCAUGGUCGACGUGAGUAAGACAUUUGAACGUGUUAACCCUGGCAAAGCUGCUGGCCCAGACGGCAUGCCUAGACGCAUCCUCAGAGCAUGGACAGACCAGCUGGCUGGUGUGGUUACUGACAUAUUCCAGUCUGCUGUCCCCACAUGCUUCAAGAUGGCCACCAUUGUUCCUGUUCCCAAGAAAGCAAAGGUAACUGAACUAAAUGACUAUCUCCCUGUAGCACUCACUUCUGUCAUCAUGAAGUGCUUUGAGAGACUAGUCAAGGAUCAUAUCACCUCCACCUUACCAGUCACCCUAGACCCACUUCAAUUUGCUUACCACUCCAAUAGGUCCACAGACGAUGCAAUCGCCAUCACACUGCACACUGCCCUGUCCCAUCUGGACAAGAGGAACACCUAUGUAAGAAUGCUGUUCAUUGACUAUAGCAUUCAACACCAUAGUACCCUCCAAGCUCAUCAUUAAGUUUGAAGCCCUGGGUCUCAACCCCACCCUGUGCAAUUGGAUCCUGGACUUCCUGACGGGCCGCCCCCAGGUGGUGAAGGUAGGAAACAACAUCUCCCCUUUGCCGAUGCUCAACACUGGGGCCCCACAAGGGUGUGUGCUCAUCCCCCUCAUGUACUCCCUGUUCGACCAUGACUGCGUGGCCAUACACGCCUCCAACUCAAUCAUCAAGUUUGCAAGCGACACAACAGUAGUAGGCUUGAUUACCAAGAAUGACGAGACAGCCUACAGGGAGGAGGUGAGGGCUCUCGGAGUGUGGUGUCAGGAAAAUAUCAAAUUAAAUCAAAGUUUAUUUGUCACGUGAGCCGAAUACAACAGGUUACAGUGAAAUGCUUACUUACAGGCUCUAACCAAUGGUGUGGGGAAAAAAAGUGUGUGUGUGUGUGUGUGUAGGUAAGUAAAGAAAUAAAACAACAGCAAAAAGACAUUUGAAAAAAGAGUAGCAAGGCUAUAUACAGACACCUGUUAGUCAGGCUUAUUGAGGUAGUAUGUACAUGUAGGUAUUGUUAAAGUGACUAUGCAUAUAUGAUGAACAGAGAGUAGCAGAAGCGUAAAAAGAGGGGUUGGCGGGUGGUGGGACACUAUGCAGAUAGCCCAGUUAACCAUUUGGUUAGAUGUUCAGGAGUCUUAUGGCUUGAGGGUAAAAACUGUUGAGAAGCCUUUUUGUCCUAGACUUGGGUCUUGGGUGAACAAGGAGUACAGGAGGGGACCGAGCACGUACCCCUGGGGAGCUCCAGUGUUGAGGAUCUGCAUGGCAGAUGUGUUGCUACCUACCCUCACCACCUGGGGGCAGCCUGUCAGGAAGUCCAGGAUCCAGUUGCAGAGGGAGGUGUUUAGUCCCAGGAUCCUUAGCUUGGUGAUGAGCUUUGAGGGUACUAUGGUGCUAAACGCUGAGCUGUAGUCAAUGAACAGCAUUCUCACAUAGGUGUUUAUUUUGUCCAGGUGCGAAAGGGCAGUGUGGAGUGCAAUAGAGAUUGCAUCAUCUGUGGAUCUAUUUGGGCGGUAUGCAAAUUGGAGUGGGUCUAGGGUUUCUGGGAUAAUGGUGUUGAUGUGAGCCAUUACCAGCAUUUCAAAGCACUUCAUGGCUACGGACGUGAGUGCUACAGGUCUGUGGUCAUUUAGGCAGGUUCCCUUCGUGUUCUUGGGCACAGGGACUAUGGUGGUCUGCUUGAAGCAUGUUGGUAUUACAGACUCAAUCAGGGACAUGUUGAAAAUGUCAGUGAAGUCACCUGCCGGUUGGUCAGCACAUGCCCCGAGCACACAUCCUGGUAAUCCGUCUGGUCCCGCAGCCUUGUGUAUGUUGACCUGUUUAAAGGUCUUACUCACGUCGGCUACGGAGAGCGUGAUCACACAGUCAUCCGGGGAACAGUUGAUGCUCUCAUGCAUGCCUCAGUGUUGCUUGCCUCGAAGUGAGCAUAGAAGUGAUUUAGCUCGUCUGGUAGGCUCGUGUCACUGGGCAGCUCUCGGCUGUGCUUCCCUUUGUAGUCUGUAAUAGUUUGCAAGCCCUGCCACAUCCGACGAUCAUCGGAGCCGGUGUAGUAUGAUUCAAUCUUAACCCUGUAUUGACGCUUUGCCUGUUUGAUGGUUCGUCGCAGAGCAUAGCGGGAUUUCUUGUAAGCUUCCGGAUUAGAGUCCCGCACCUUGAAAGCGUCAGCUCUACCCUUUAGCUCAGUGUGAAUGUUGCCUGUAGUCGAUGGCUUCUGGUUGGGGUAUUAACCUACAGUCACUGUGGGGACAACGUCCUCAAUGCAUUUAUUGAUAAACCCAGUGACUGAUGUGGUGUAUUCCUCAAUGUCAUUGGAAGAAUCCCGGAACAUGUUCCAGUCUGUGAUAGCAAAGCAGUCCUGUAGUUUAGCAUCUGCUUCAUCUGACCAUUUUUUUAUAGACCGAGAUACUGGUGCUUCCUGCUUUAAUUUUUGCUUGUAAGCAGGAAUCAGGAGGAUAGAGUUGUGGUCGGAUUUACCAAAAGGAGGGCGAGGGAGAGCUUUGUACGCGUCUCUGUGUGUGGAGUACAGGGGAUCUAGAUUUUUUUUCCCUCUGGUUGCACAUUUAACAUGUUGAUAGAGAUUUGGUAGAACUGAUUUUAGUUUCCGUGCAUUAAAGUCUCCAGCCACUAGGAGCGCCGCCUCUGGGUGAGUGGUUUCCUGUUUGCUUAUUUCCUUAUACAGCUGACUGAGUGGGGUCUUAGUGCCAGCAUCUGUCUGUGGUGGUAAAUAAACAGCCAAGUAAAGUAUAGCUGAGAACUCUCUAGGCAAGUAGUGUGGCCUGCAGUUUAUCACAAUAUAGACUUCCUUAGAUUUCGUGCACCAGCUGUUGUUUACAAAUGUCUUGAUAUCCAGAAUCUCUUUUCUUCCGUAAUAUACGGUUGCAGAAACACUAUGUACAAAAGAAUGUACAAAUAUUGCAAAAAAACCCACAUAAUAGCACAAUUGGUUAGGAGACCGUAAAACGGCGGCCAUCUCCUCUGGCGCCAUCACCUAAAAACCUCUCACUCAACGUCAACAAAACAAAGGAGAAGAUUGUGGUCUUCAGGAAACAGCAGAGGGAGCACCCCCCUAUCCACAUCUAUGGGACAGUAGUGGAGAAGGUGGAAAGUUAAGUUCCUCGGCAUACACAUUACUGACAAACUGAAAUUGUCUACCCACACAGACAGUGUGGUGAAGAAGGCGCAACAGUGUCUCUUUAACCUCAGGAGGCUGAUGAAAUUUGUCUUGUCACCUAAAAACAUACUCUUUUACAGAUGUACAAUUGAGAGCAUCCUGUUGGGCUGUAUCACCGCCUGGUACUGCAACUGCGCCGCCCACAACCGCUGGGUUCUCCAGAUGUCUCUGAAUGUCCUUGAGUGGCCCAGCCUGAGCCCGGACUUGCUCCCCAUUGAACAUCUCUGGAGAGACCUGAAUAUAGCUGUGCAGCGAUGCUCCCCAUUGAACCUGACAGAGCUUGACAGGAUCUGCAGAGAAGAAUGGAAGAAACUCCCCAAAUACAGGUGUGCCAAGCUUGUAGCAUCAUACCCAAGAAGACUCGAGGCUGUAAUCGCUGCUUAAGGUGCUUCAACAAAGUACUGAAUAAAGGGUCUGAAUACUUAUGUGAAUGUGAUAUUUCAGUUUUGUAUUUUUUAUACAUUUGCAAAAAAUCAAACAACCUGUUUUUGCUUUGUCAUUAUGGGGUAUUGUGUGUAGAUUGAUGAGGUAAAAAAAAACAAUUAAAUCCAUUUUAGAAAAAUGCUGUAACGUAACAAAAUGUGGGAAAAGUGAAGGUGUCUGAGUACUUUCCGAAUGCACUGUAUGUCAACAUAUAGCUCAGCAUUUGUAUUAUUUAUUUUAUAGUAUUGUUUUCUUAUCUUUAUCAAGGGUUCCAAUCAUUUUGGACCUGACUGUAUAUCUUUUCAGUUAUUGUAGUUAUUGUAAAAUAUAUGCAUAAUGUACAUUGAUGAUUUACAUAAUUAAGUGACACUGAAUAUUACAGUUUCCUUUACCAGUAAAAUAAUUGGAACAACCAAAUGAAUAACAUUUUAUAGAUGUAACUUUAUUGAAAUGAAACAUGUUCAUAACAAUCCAUCCCACUGUUUUGUUUUUAUUGAUUUGCAACACACAAUGAACACUAACUAACACAAGAUGACUAUCAAAGCUCUCUCUGUAUCUAAAAAGACUUCUAUUAUCAUGCAAGUCUUUAUCAGCUGGGCAGUUAACUUGAAAGUCCCAGGUGAAACAUAUGAAACAUACAUAACUUCUUCUCAUUGGACCAUAUUAGUGGUCAUGGCACAAAGCCGGCCAAUAGGGACUGUCCCUCCAGGGGUCUCAAUGGUCAUUGGUUGCUCAUGGCAAUGAUGCAAAGAUACAAGUCUGACACUAUGGUUCAUGUAUAAUUUAUCCAAGACAAUUAUUUUUUAAAAUAUUUUUUUAAGGAGGUAGAUCAGCUAUGAAAUUAGCAGAUAGAAUCGAUGUCUCCCAAAUAACAUGACUUACAUAAUUUCUAAUCUCCCUUUAUACAGUGAAUUCGGAAAGUAUUCAGACCUUUUCCACAUUUUAUUACAUUACGGCCUUAUUGUAAAAUUGAAUAAAUCGUCCCCCUCCCCCCUCAUAAAUCUACACACAAUACACCAUAAUGACAAAGCAUUAACAGGUUUUUGCAAUUUAAAAAAAUAAUUUAUAUAUUUUAAAAAAAUGUAUGUAAGUAUUCCGACCCUUUACUAAGUACUUUCCCCUUGGGUUGUGCCAUGGCGGAGAUCUUUGUGGGCUAUACUCAGCCUUGUCUCAGGAUGGUAAGUUGGUGGUUGAAGAUAUCCCUCUAGUGGUGUGGGGGCUGUGCUUUGGCAAAGUGGGUGUGGUUAUAUCCUUCCUGUUUGGCCCUGUCCUGGGGUGUCCUCGGAUGGGGCCACAGUGUCCCCUGACCCCUCCUGUCUCAGCCUCCAGUAUUUAUGCUGCAGUAGUUUAUGUGUCGGGGGGCUAGGGUCAGUUUGUUAUAUCUGGAGUACUUCUCCUGUCCUAUACGGUGUCCUGUGUGAAUUUAAGUGUGCUCUCUCUAAUUCUCUCUUUCUUUCUCUCUCUCUCGGAGGACCUGAGCCCUAGGACCAUGCCUCAGGACUACCUGACAUGAUGACUCCUUGCUGUCCCCAGUCCACCUGGCCGUGCUGCUGCUCCAGUUUCAACUGUUCUGCCUUAUUAUUAUUUGACCAUGCUGGUCAUUUAUGAACAUUUGAACAUCUUGGCCAUGUUCUGUUAUAAUCUCCACCCGGCACAGCCAGAAGAGGACUGGCCAACCCACAUAGCCUGGUUCCUCUCUAGGUUUCUUCCUAGGUUUUGGCCUUUCUAGGGAGUUUUUCCUAGCCACCGUGCUUCUACACCUGCAUUGCUUGCUGUUUGGGGUUUUAGGCUGGGUUUCUGUACAGCACUUUGAGAUAUCAGCUGAUGUACGAAGGGCUAUAUAAAUACAUUUGAAUUUGAAAAGGACCAUUUGUGAUGUUUAUGGGACAUGUUGGAGUGCCAACAAAAGAAGCUCGUCAAAGGUAAGGCAUGAUUUAUAUUUUUAUUUCUGCGUUUUGUGUCGCGCCUGCAGGGUUGAAAUAUGUUUUCUCUCUUUGUUUACGGAGGUGCUACCCUCAGAUAAUAGCAUUGUUUGCUUUUGCUGAAAAGCAUUUUUGAAAUUUGACAUGUUGGCUGGAUUCACAACACGUGUAGCUUUAAUUUGGUAUCUUACAAAUGUGAUUUCGUGAAAGUUAGAUUUUUAUAGUAAUUUAUUUGAAUUUGGCGCUCUGCACUUUCACUGGCUUUUGGCCAGGUGGGCUAGCGUCCCACAUAUCCCAGAGAGGUAACCUCCAGACGAGCUUCAAUGCCGUACAACUCUCCUCCAACUGCUGUUAAAUGCAAGUAAAACUAAAUGCAUGCUCUUCAACCGAUCGCUGCCCUCACACACCUGCCGUCCAGCAUCACUACUCUGGACGGUUCUGACUUUGAAUAUGUGGACAACUACAAAUACCUAGGUGUCUGGUUAGACUGUAAACUCCUUCCAGACUCAUAUCAAACAUCUCCAAUCCUAAAUUAACUUGUUAUGGCUGCAAUCCCGAUAUCGGGAUAAGUGUCAUCAACAAAAUGCUGAAUAGCAUAGCGCUACAUACAAUAAAUAUUACUAUAAAUAUUUAUAUUCAUGAAAUCACAAGUGCAAUAUAGGAAAACACUGUUUAGCCUUUUGUUAAUCCACCUGUUGUGUCAGAUGUUGAAAUUAUGCUUUACAGCGAAAGCAAUCCAAGCGUUUGUGUAAGUUUAUCGAUCGCACGAUAAAACAUUAAGUACACUUAGCAUCAGGUAGCUCGGUCACGGAAAUCAGAAAAGCAAUCAAAUUAAUUGUUUACCUUUGAUGAUCUUCAGAUGUUUUCACUCACGAGACUCCCAGUUACACAACAAAUGUUCAUUUUGUUCCAUAAAGAUUAUUUUCGCGUUAUGUUCAGAAAUCCACAGGAAAUAGCGGUCACGACAACACAGACGAAAAUUCCAAAUAGUUUCCAUAAUGUCCACAGAAACAUCUCAAACGUUUUUUAUAAUCAAUCCUCAGGUUGUUUUUAAAAUAUAUAAUCGAUAAUAUAUUAACCGCAAAUGUCUUUCACAGUAGGAGAGAGGAAAACAAUGGCUGUCCAAAUUCUGUUGCGCGAGCAAAACUCAUGUGACCACUUGACGCAAUGUUAUCGUUCUGGCUCAUUUUUCCAAAUAAAAGCCUGACACUAUGUCUGAAGACUGUUGACACCUUGAGGAAGCGAUAGGAAAAGGAAUCUGGUUCAUAUCCCUUUAAAUCCAGCAAAGGGAGGCUAUGGAACAUGGAGUUUUCAAAAUAGAAGCCACUUCCUGUUUUGAUUUUCCUCUGGGUUUUGCCUGCAAUAUCAGUUCUGUUAUACUCACAGACAAUAUUUUGACAGGUUUGGAAACUUUAGAGUGUUUUCUAUCAAAUUCUAAUAAUAAUAUGCAUAUAUUAGCAACUGAGACUGAGGAGCUGGCCGUUUACAAUGGGCACCUUUUCAUCCAAGCUACUCAAUACUGCCCCUGCAGCCAUAAAAAGUUAAAUCUAGAAUUGGCUUCCUAUUUCGCAACAAAGCAUCCUUCACUCAUGCUGCCAAACAUACCCUAGUAAAACGGACAAUCCUACCGAUCCUCGUCUUUGGCGAUGUCAUUUACAAAAUAGCCUCCAACAAAUUGGAUGCAGUCUAUCACAGUGCCAUCUGUUCUGUCACCAAAGCCCCAUAUACUACCCACCACUGCGACCUGUACGCUCUCGUUGCCUGGCCCUCACUUCAUACUCGUCGCCAAACCCACUGGCUCCAGGUCAUCUACAAGUAUCUGCUAGGUAAAGCCCCACCUUAUCUCAGCUGACUGGUCACCAUAGCAGCACCCACCCGUAGCACGCGCUACAGAUAUAUCUCACUGGUCACCCCCAUAGCCAAUUCUUCCUUUGGCCGCCUUUCCUUCCAGUUCUCUGCUACCAAUGACAGGAACAAACUACAAAAAUCACUGAAGCUGGAGACUCAUAUCUCCCUCACUCGCUUUAAGCACCAGCUGUCAGAGCAGAUCACUGUACCUGUACAUAGCCCAUCUGUAAAUAGCCCAUCCAACUACCUCAUUCUCAUACUGUAUUUUUUUUUUUUAUCUUGCUCCUUUGCACCCCAAUAUCUCUACUUGCACAUUCAUCUUCUGCACAACUACCAUUCCAGUGUUUAAUUGCUAUAUUGUAAUUACUUCGCCACCAUGGCCUUUUUAUUGCCUGUAUAUAGACUUUUUCUAUUGUAUUAUUGACUGUAUGUUUGUUUAUUCCAUGUGUAACUCUGUGUUGUUGUAUGUGUCGAACUGCUUUGCUUUAUCUUGGCCAGGUCGCAGUUGCAAAUGAGAAAUUGUUCUCAACUAGUCUACCUGGUUAAAUAAAGGUUAAAUAAAAAAAUGAAAAAAUAAAUGUCAAGCAAAGAGGCAUUGAGUUUGAAUGCCUUGAAAUAAAUCCACAGGUACACCUCCAAUUGACUCUUAUAAUGUCAAUUAGUCUAUCAGAAGCUUCUAAAGCCAUGACAUUUUUUUCUGGAAUUUUCCAAGCUGUUUAAAGGCACAGGCAACUUAGUGUAUGUAAACUUCUGACCCACUGGAAAUGUGAUACAGUGAAUUAUAAGUGAAAUAAUCUCUGUAAACAAUUGUUGGAAAAAUGACUUGUGUAUUGCACAAAGGAGAUGUCCUAACCGACUUGCCAAAACUAUAGUUUAACAAGAAAUUUUGGAGUUGAAAAACUAAUUUUAAUGACACCAACCUAAGUGAAUGUAAACAUCAGACUUAAACUUUGUAAAUAUAUAUAUAUAUAUAUAUAUAUAUGACACUGAAUGUACAAAACAUUAGGAACACCUUCCUAAUAUUGAGUUGCACUCCAUUUUGUCCUCAUAAUAGCCUCAAUUCGUCGGGGAUUGGACUCGACAAGGUGUCGAGCGUUUCACAAGGACAAAAAGAGGGUGCAACUUAACAUUAGGAAGGUGUUACUGUUUUGUACCGUCAGUGUAUGACUUUUCUUUCCUAAUUACACUGGACUCCAAGGUCAAAUGUAAAAAUGUUUUAAAAAAUCUGAAUUCCUACUCUCAGAUAACCACAGACUAAGCCACCUUUCCCAAUACACUAACAUUUGACUAUUUCCUUUUGCAUACAUCCUCCUAUUUUACUGUGAUGUUUUAAGAGGGUCUUGAACCUUUCUAUUUGUUCCAUUUCUACCGAGAUUCCCCUAAAAAUAAAUACUUUACCUUAGGGUAUUAUCAUAUUUCCCAUUAAUUGAUCGUGGUUUUUCAAAUCUCCUAACAGUACUGUUUGUAGGUCAAUCUGAGCACAGACUUAUUAACAACCACUUGUGGACCUGACUCCAAAAGCGAGCCACUGAAGGGUAGUACCAAAAGAGAUGAUCUAUUAAUUCUGUUUCUUCGUGGCAGAGUCUGCACAGGACUGACUGUUCAAUGCCCCAUACAUUGAGCAUUCUUUUUGUAGUGAGAAUUUUACAUAAUAACAUUAAAUUAAAAAUAAUGGAUUUAUGCUUCAAUUGUUGUUUUGUAAAUCAGUUCAUAAACCCGAUGCCAUGGUAUUGGGACAUAAAAAAAUCUGUUCCCAAAUAUCUAGAAUUAUAUGCGGUGUAGUUAUCAAACCUCUCGACCUUAAGUGAAACUGAUACUUUUUACUAUUUAUACUAGUCAUUUUAAGCCAUGCAUGGUUUUUCAUUGGUGGCAGACAAACCAAUUCAUUGCUUUAUAUUUUGAGAAAUUGCCUCUUUCAUUUUCGUGGCCGAGCUGCGAUGAGUUCGUUAUACUCCAUACACCUUUGUUAUAUGCUUGUGUGACAUACUUUUAGUGUCCUUAUUUACAAUGUCAAUGUCUUCCCUUAUACAUUUUUUCCAAGAAAAUGUGUAUUUCCUUUAUCAAUACAUUGGAGUUUAGCCUUAUCAUUUGUGAAUAAAAAUAAUAUUAUUAUUCUAUUAAAGACACUUUUGUGAGGGUCCCCUACCAGAAAUGUACAUGCUAAAAACGUAUGAAUAUACAUUCAUUUCACAAUAACAAAAUGUAUUGUAACACAAAUCGAAUUGUAACAUAAAAAAUGAUUUCAUAAACACCUUAAAAGGUUGUUUGGAGUGCCUUUGUAGUUCCAAAACACAUUACAAAUGCAUAGGAAACAGGUAAUCAAGUAAUUUCACAUGAGAUGGAACAUGUUAGAAUUGCAAACAGAAUGUGUUUAUUUUGUGUAAGAUUCCAGUGGGUAACUGGUGCUUUAGGUGGUAAUAUUUCCAGUACGGUAACUGGUGCUUUAGGCUGUGAUAUUUCCAGUCGGUUAACUGGUGCUUUAGGUGGUGAUAUUUCCAGUACGGUAACUGGUGCUUUAGGUGGUAAUAUUUCCAGUACGGUAACUGGUGCUUUAGGCUGUGAUAUUUCCAGUCGGUUAACUGGUGCUUUAGGUGGUGAUAUUUCCAGUACGGUAACUGGUGCUUUAGGUGGUGAUAUUUCCAGUACGGUAACUGUUGCUUUAGGUGGUGAUAUUUCCAGUAGGGUAACUGGUGCUUUAGGUGGUGAUAUUUCCAAUAGGGUAACUGGUGCUUUAGGUGGUGAUAUUUCCAGUAUUGUAACUGGUGCUUUAGGUGGUGGUAUUUCCAGUAGGUAACUGAUGCUUUAGGUGGUGGUAUUUCCAGUAGGGGUAACUGGUGCUUUAGGUGGUGAUAUUUCCAGUAGGGUAACUGGUGCUUUAGGUGGUGAUAUUUCUGUGUUUCCUUGGCUGUUCAUCCAAUGACAUCUUCUUGAUCCCGAUUACAUCAUUCUACCUAAUAGUUUUUUUUAUUCACCCAAAUUCUGAUGAACUUGCAUGCAGCCUUG